ACUCAAAUGAAUUGACGGGGGCUCACACAAGCGGUGGAGGAUGUGGUUUAAUUCGAAGCAACGCGAAGAACCUUACCAGGUCUUGACAUACCGGGAUUAAUUUCGUGAAAGCGAGAGGAUUGCCCGCAAGGGUGUAACCGGAACAGGUGCUGCAUGGCUGUCGUCAGCUCGUGCCGUGAGGUGUCAGGUUAAGUCCUUUAACGAGCGAAACCCCUACGAUGAGUUGCUACCAGGUAAAGCUGGGCACUUUCAUCGGACUGCCGCGCAAGCUGGAGGAAGGUGGGGACGACGUCAAGUCAUCAUGGCCUUUAUGACCUGGGCUACACACGUCCUACAAUGGUCGGUACAACGGGCAGCAGAGCCGCAAGGUGAAGCCAAUCCCUGAAAGCCGUCCUCAGUUCGGAUUGUGGGCUGCAAUUCGCCCACAUGAAGCUGGAAUCGCUAGUAAUCGCGGAUCAGCCACGCCGCGGUGAAUAUGUUCCUGAGCCUUGUACACACCGCCCGU
RNAcentral lists this ribosomal RNA (505 nucleotides) under uncultured bacterium. Its description in RNAcentral is "partial 16S ribosomal RNA". It matches the Rfam family "Bacterial small subunit ribosomal RNA", at positions 899 to 1397 of the family's 1533-position model. The record is from RNAcentral.